AAAUCCCUGCCGCCGGGUAGGGAAGGAGCGCUUUGCCGCGUAUCGUCAGGCCAUAGAAGAUACGCGUCCGGGCGCUUUUUUGUU
RNAcentral lists this non-coding RNA (84 nucleotides) under unclassified sequences. The record is from RNAcentral.